GAUGAACGCUGGCGGCGUGCCUAAUACAUGCAAGUCGAGCGAACAGACGAGGAGCUUGCUCCUCUGACGUUAGCGGCGGACGGGUGAGUAACACGUGGAUAACCUACCUAUAAGACUGGGAUAACUUCGGGAAACCGGAGCUAAUACCGGAUAAUAUAUUGAACCGCAUGGUUCAAUAGUGAAAGACGGCUUUGCUGUCACUUAUAGAUGGAUCCGCGCCGCAUUAGCUAGUUGGUAAGGUAACGGCUUACCAAGGCAACGAUGCGUAGCCGACCUGAGAGGGUGAUCGGCCACACUGGAACUGAGACACGGUCCAGACUCCUACGGGAGGCAGCAGUAGGGAAUCUUCCGCAAUGGGCGAAAGCCUGACGGAGCAACGCCGCGUGAGUGAUGAAGGUCUUCGGAUCGUAAAACUCUGUUAUUAGGGAAGAACAAAUGUGUAAGUAACUAUGCACGUCUUGACGGUACCUAAUCAGAAAGCCACGGCUAACCACGUG
RNAcentral lists this ribosomal RNA (497 nucleotides) under uncultured bacterium. RNAcentral's name for it is "partial 16S ribosomal RNA". It matches the Rfam family "Bacterial small subunit ribosomal RNA", at positions 28 to 507 of the family's 1533-position model. The record is from RNAcentral.